CAGGUUAGGACGGCAUAGCUGUUACAAGAAGACAUGAAUCCUCAUGAAAAGGGAGAGAGCUUGUCACUCAUCCCCGUUGCCUGGAGACUCAGCGGGAUCAUCUGGCGGCUCAGGAGGAGAUGCACAACCCACCUCUACUUUGACAUUUGUUCCCUCAUGGAACUUUUCAAUGGAAAGAGAGUUGGGGUGACACAGGCCACACCUCACUGCAGGACUUCAAUGUGCUUGUCUAGGUUGCUUUGUUUUUCUAAGCUCCAUCCACUGCUCCAUUAGUCUGUGACCCAGAAUGGAAGCACUCGCAGCAGUGCAAAACAUAAACUCAGCUUGGCGUCUAACCAAGAUUUCCUUUGCUGUAAUCAAGAUGACUUCUGACAAGAUGAAGGAGGAGCAGAAAAGCUGACGAGUAGUCUUGAAGAAUUUGUGCAAUGGUCAAGUAUCCUCCUGUAGUUGGGUGAAGCACAGGCCAGAAGUCAGAAGCAACCCCGAAGACUUCCGGCUUUUCUUUUAAGAGCCUCAGAAAAGAGAUUAACUGGAGAAAGGCUUUAUCUCUGAUCCAGAUGUGAUACUGACUGAAGGGCUGGGAAGAAUGGUCUGUGCAUCUCUAGGAAGGCAUUUCUUUUUCUCUUCUUUGUAAAAACAUUUUUGGAUUACAAAGUGAUUUACUUAAAGUUUGAAUUGUUAAAUUCUAA
Mus musculus (house mouse) is the source of this 689-nucleotide long non-coding RNA. RefSeq annotates it as predicted gene, 35479. The transcript has 4 exons. Lineage: Eukaryota; Metazoa; Chordata; Mammalia; Rodentia; Muridae. The record is from RefSeq and is a predicted model, not a curated record.